RNAcentral lists this unclassified non-coding RNA (3415 nucleotides) under Leishmania donovani. RNAcentral's name for it is "gene:LdHU3.35.2200(CDS-product:mismatch_repair_pr otein_PMS1_putative)". The record is from RNAcentral. Lineage: Eukaryota; Euglenozoa; Kinetoplastea; Trypanosomatida; Trypanosomatidae.
AGAGGAUCUCCUCUCCGGUCUGUAUACUGCACCUCUCUCUGAGUGUACUCUCUUCCCCCGCAAGACGGCAAACCUGCCACCCUCGGGGGUGUGCCGAAUAGAAACACGCGCACUGGCUCACACACACACACACAAACGCACGCGCACAGGGGCAUGGAUGCAUGCACGCCGUUCUUUUUCCUCUUUCGUAUCUUGGUAUUAUAGAAGACACGUUUGACGUGUCAGCCUUCGGUGCCCUCUUCCCUCACCCUCCUGCAGCGCCCCCUUUUCCUUUUGUGUGUGUGCUUGGAUCUUAGUGGCACGGCCUGCUCAUCUGCUGUCUGUCUGUCUGUCUUGACGCCGUCAGUCUUUGGCUAGAGCCCCCUCCCUACUCUUCCUCCCUGUAGCACCCAUACGUCGCGAUCAAGGCGAAAUCCACGUGUAGGCCGCUCCCCGCUCGAUGUGGCGCCGUCACAGGUGUGUCGCCGUCAUCUGAGUAGGGGUGGUAAGUGACACCGUCGCAUAAGACGCCUGGCACACACCCUUCAGCCAUAAUGAUUACCCGUCUGGAUGGUGCGAGCGCGCGCAAGCUUGCUGCGGGACAAGUAAUUACGGACCUCACGAGCGUUGUGAAGGAACUCUCCGAAAACGCGUUGGAUGCGAAGGCCACGACGGUGACUAUUCGACUCAUCAACUACGGUCUCGAUGAGAUUGUCGUUGAUGAUGACGGCACGGGAAUAUCCAUGGGUCAGCUAGUGAACACCGCGGCCAAUGAGCUGCUGGACGGUGCGAGCACGCCUCUGCUAUCGAGCCGCGCCACUACGAAGCAGCGACGGCACGAUCGCGACGGUUGCACUCAUGCGACUGCAAAGGACGAAGCCGACGAGGGUCAGACGAGCCAGGCCGAGAGCGCGUGUGUGGCAGAGGAUGAGGGUGACAGCUCUGAUCCGUCACUUGGUUUCCGCGGGGAAGCGCUCCACUCUUUGGCCCACGUGAGUGAUGUAACGGUAGAGACGCGCAGCGCCGACACUGGUGCCUUGACGGUGCGUAUCUCGUAUGAUCAUACAUCGCACACGUCUCGCCUGGAGGCGGUGCGACUGCGCGAUGUGUGCGGCACCACCGUCACCGCGCGGCAUCUCUUCAAGCACCUUCCUGUGCGGCACCGCGAGUACGUGAAGAACUGCCGCAAGCAGCUCAGCAAGGUGGCCAGCACGAUGAAGCAGUACGCCGUGUCGCACCCGCACAUACGUCUUCUGAUGCAGCACCAGGAGACCCCCAACUCAGCCGUCGUCACGCUCGUUUCGCUCACCGGCUCUGGCGAUGCAACGCGCAGUGUGACGGAGGCGUACGGCGGCCUUUGCACCUCGCACAUGCAGCGUGUGCACUGGAGCUUGUCGUUCGGCACCUUCGCCGGACUCGUGUCGAAGGUAAGCGGCGGCGGGCGACUAAGCGGCGACCAUCAGGUGUUUGCCCUUGACGGGCGGCUCGUCGACCUGCCGCGUUUGGGCAAGGCGCUCAACGACGCCUUCAUCCAAUGCCUCCCGAACGCCUCCCAGCGGCUGCACGUUGCCUUCUUCCUCCAGGUAAAGACGAACGCUUCACUUCAGUACGACGUAAACCUUACCCCCAACAAGCGCAAGGUGUUGCUUGCGCAAGAGGAGCGCUUGGCGGACGAGUUGUACCAGUGCGCGCUGCAAGAGUUUGGCUCGGCCUUGCAGGAGGUCGACCUGGAUCGUGGCCAACGUAUCGCGCAGACCCGCGCCGCUGAUGUGCGUGCCACGGAGCUGACGAAGCUGACGCGAACACCGGUUUCAGCCACGUCGCUCACGCAGUUCACGUUCAAGCGAGCGAAGAUGGAGGAAACGGAUACGGGCGGCCGCGUUGCCGCUGGCGCCCUGGACGCCCACAGUGGAGAGUCGUACCUCAGCUCCACGGCUGGCUCCUCCUCGGUGAUCGACCUCCCAAAGCUUGGCAGCCUUCUGUACGGCAAUGGCGCAGCCGACGAUGACGGCUCCGGCACGGACAGGGAUGGCGAGAGGGCUGAAUCCACUCCACUCUUGCUGCCCUCCUCGCUAUCCAGCAUUAGCGGUGGCGGCGAGGACGACGAGGACAGCAAGGAAAGCUCCCGCAGCGCUGUCGAAGACAAGAGCGAAGGCAGCGACCCACCCGCCCUCAAGUCAUCCGCAGAUGUUGAUGACCAUGAAGACUGCUGUUGCGGUUGGCACUUGGCUGACAACGCGAAAGGCAUGCGCUCGGAAUCAGUUGCAGUCGAGGUUACGCGGCUCUCUGACGAGGGCAGUCAGCGGCGGGGCGGGGGCAGCUGCUAUCAGUGCGCGUACCCGGAUCUCAGCGAGCUCGUGCAGGAGCCCUUCUCCGCGGACCCAGCCGAUGCGGUGGCGUUGUCGGCGUCAGCAAAAAUGCGCAGCCGGUCCUCUUCUCGCACCCUCGGUGCCCAGACGGCCGACGACCUGAACCACUACUUCACCAAGAAUUCCUUCAAGGAGAUGCGGGUGAUUGGGCAGUUUAACCACGGCUUCAUCAUUGCCGUGCUCCCCAACGGUGACGUGUUCGUCGUCGAUCAGCACGCAUCAGAUGAGAAGUAUAACUACGAGCGACUUGUGCGCGCGUACGAGGCAACGCCACAGCCCUUGGUGAUGCCGGUGUCCGUGGCCAUGAGUGCUCACGAGGUGGACCUCGCCGUGGAGCACAAGCUGACUCUUCAGCAGCACGGCUUCAAGGUAAGCCGAGGAAGCGACGAUACGAAGCUGCUGGUGUAUUCGCUGCCGGUGUUGCCGUACGACGUGGUGAGCGCGUCGGAUGUGAUGGAGCUGGUGCAGCAACUCGUACAAUACGGCACCAUCACGAAGCCGCUGCGUGCGGUGUGGCACUCCAUGGCCACGAAGGCGUGCCGCAGCAGCAUCAUGAUUGGCACCCCGCUCACGGUGAAGCGCAUGAAGCUCAUCCUCGAGCGACUAAGCCAGCUGGAUCAGCCGUGGAACUGCCCGCAUGGUCGACCAACGCUGCGGCUGCUAUGCAGCAUAGCAGAUCUUCAGAGAGGUGGUGCGCUGCUACGAUGAGUAUGUUGCAAAGCCGGAGACCUAUGCCGGUAAAUACGCGCGCACAUCAUUGCCCACUAAAUUGCACAACUCCUCUGCACGCGUACACGCAUAGAGAGGCACGCGAUGAUAGCAACGAGAAUGUGGGAGCGCAUCAACAUUGCGGCUCUGUUUGUUUUUGCUUGCCCCCCUCCCCACUCUUUUCCUCAUGAGAGGAUAAGGUCCGAUGAGGAGGGGGGUCAUGAUAACGGUGCUGGGGCUAAGUGAAAAGGACGCAGAUUGAAGGGGGACCAUAUGCACGGUCGACCCCUUCCACACGACCUGCUUCGCCCGUGCUGUCUUUCCGUGGGGCGCCUCUGUUUCCUUGCGCUCGUGCGCUG